AGGAUGAACGCUGGCGGCGUGCUUAACACAUGCAAGUCGAACGGAGAAAGGGUAGCUUGCUAUCUUUCUUAGUGGCGGACGGGUGAGUAACGCGUGGGUAACCUGCCCUUUGCAGGGGGAUAACAGUGAGAAAUCACUGCUAAUACCGCAUACCAACUUCUUUCGCAUGAAAGAAGUUUGAAAGAUUUAUCGGCAAAGGAUGGACCCGCGUUGGAUUAGCUAGUUGGUGAGAUAACAGCCCACCAAGGCAACGAUCCAUAGCCGGCCUGAGAGGGUGAACGGCCACACUGGGACUGAGACACGGCCCAGACUCCUACGGGAGGCAGCAGUGGGGAAUAUUGCACAAUGGGCGAAAGCCUGAUGCAGCGACGCCGCGUGAAGGAUGAAGGUCUUCGGAUUGUAAACUUCUAUCAACAGGGAAGAAAGGGCCUAUGGCCUAUGACGGUACCUGACUAAGAAGCCCCGGCUAACUACGUG
This 477-nucleotide ribosomal RNA is filed under the name uncultured bacterium. RNAcentral's name for it is "bacterial SSU rRNA". It matches the Rfam family "Bacterial small subunit ribosomal RNA", at positions 26 to 507 of the family's 1533-position model. The record is from RNAcentral.